UUUGUGUGUUUGUCGUUUCGAUUCUGUCUCUCUGUGGCUCUGGUCGACGGCAGCGGAGGUCUCAUUCGGUGGCUCUCCUCGUAUCGCUCAGGCAUGGAGUAUUGGCGUCACUUAUACUCUCGUGUGGUCGGUCAAGAGUGGAGCAUUGGAUUCUCAUGUCAUGGACUGUUGUCUUUGUUUCACAAGUCUUGUAGUAGAUUAAUAUCUCUUGUAGGUCACGGGUCAAGAAGAGUGUCAGUUCACUGACUCAUGUUCUUGUUGUUUUGUGUAUCACAUAUUGUAUAUAACUUUUUUACUUGUGUUGUGUCACGGACUUGUGUAACUUGUGUUUUGUUUUCUAUAUAGUUUGCAUUCUCUCA
Brassica oleracea var. oleracea is the source of this 359-nucleotide long non-coding RNA. RefSeq lists it as uncharacterized. Lineage: Eukaryota; Viridiplantae; Streptophyta; Magnoliopsida; Brassicales; Brassicaceae. The record is from RefSeq and is a predicted model, not a curated record. The transcript is spliced from 2 exons.